UUUGUUUCUUUACAUGUGGGGAUAUGAGAUUAAGAGGGGGAUUUCUGCAAAAAAACACUAUGAACCACAAACACUAAACAUCCCGCCUCCCGUUGAAUAUGUACAUGCUGUCAGACAACCAAAAACAAAAUUCUCCCACACGUCAAGCGCUCAUCUGCCACCUCCUACUCCACGGGACUACCACCGUGGCCCGGUCUAUCGUCGUAUAGCGCCAAGGGCCCCUUUAGCCGACCAUCUACCCGAGCGUAAAGGGCUACGAAGGCCAUGUAUGCCAGCCCAAUAGGCGCCCCCGUAUCUACUGUCAAACAAGAUGUACAUUUGAUGAAAACUACACCCGAGAAGUGGCGGUCCUGGAUGUCCUCUUGCCGCCAUACAAAAUCGGCGGGGGAGCCAUAUAGGAUGGUCAUCGUGGUAGCAGGCGGUGUAGGCGGUGCAGAAGACAUCUUUUAUUCUGAAGAAAUAACAUAAUAAACAAGUGUGAGUUCUUAAAAUAAAAAAUCAGCAAGUGGGUGGUUAGUCAUAACUUAGAUUUGGCCAAUAACAAGACAAAUAGGUAAACAAAAUCAUCAAUUUAUUGAAUCCACAAAAAUCUAGCUGCAACAAUCACCUAGGGGGAGACGACACUCCGCCCUGAACCUCUCGCACCCAACCUGGCAUCAUGAGGUCCCCUGAGAAGCUAUUUAGCCCUUCUCAGACCUCUGGAGAGAAUACCACUACUCUUCAUCACCCUUCUCCAAGCAUUCCGACACCUGGGGUCUCACAUUGGCUCUUAGCCAACUUCACACAUUCACAAUUCCCUUAUUGCAGCAUUAACAAUCUCAGCAUGUGAACAACCACAAAUAGAUCUAAAUACACAUCAUUAAAUACUUCAAGGUAUAUAGGCACUCUCAUUAAAGGCGAUACAACAACUGCUGCACAUUCUUGGAUCAAAGCAGUUUAUGGACUGAAAUGAGCAGUUUCAAUCACAGACACAGAAUGUAUAUCUAACCUUAUCGAAAUGUUACGAAAUUUCAGUAUGUUAUAGAAGAGACAUAGAUUAACAUUUUCCAUAACGAAACCUAAAUCUAUAUCUCAAUGUAUUAAGAGCAGUAAUUUCGGUAUUCUUUCUAAAAUUCUGCAGUAACUUCCAGAUUUAGUACCUACAGAAGAAAAAUCGUUUCGCUAACCAAACCUUGUUCAUUUGUUCUCAAAUUUUAAUAUGUUAUUCCUAAAGAUGUUUCCUAUAACUUUCAUAAAGGUUUCAAAGUCCAAUUCUAUCUAGAAAAUUAUAGAAAAUUCACGGAAUUAUCAAAGGUCUUGCUGUUCUCUACAAUACAGCUUACUAUUUCAAGAAAACUACUCCUACCUACACGUUUUUGCAUCCAUAUUGUUAUAACUAGAAGUUGAACUCAAUCUAAUGGAUGUUCUUUUCCUUAUCUUCAUCAUUAGAAAUCAAGGCGACACAAACCAAAAGGCUUUUCACUUAUAUUUCUCUAGAAUAGAAACAUUUUGAACCGUUUUCUUCUUUUCUAGCUCAACCAAACCAUUAAUUUCUCUACCAAUCUCUUUUACAGCAUCUUGACGCUCUUCUACAACAUCUAAAAAUAGUCGUAGUGGGUCUUUACUUAUAAAGAAGUAUUCCACAACUCAGUACAAAGCAAAUGUUCACAAUACGCAUGGCCUUCUACCAAGUAAAACAACGUAUCACAGCCUCCUUGCAAAGUUUCUACACCUAUGGUGGCCAUUAAUCCGACAGGCAACUUACAAAAAGCAGACCAUUAGUGAAGCCGAACCAAAAUAGAACCGAAGGAGAGGAAGACCCACUGGAUAGCGUGCGACGGCACCUCAUCCAGUAGCCAAAAGAAUUCCUUAGUCUAGUUUAAAGGAAUUGAACUUGAGUUGCUCACAUUCCAGCUCCCAAACCGAGUUGUGGUUCCCAAAUUUCUCACACCCAACCUUGAAAUCUAUCCCGAUUUCCACAUGCACAACUAGGCACAGGCAUUUCAUGGACCUAGAACACUAAUCAUAGCCGCACUUGCCUGGAUCUUUCACCGGCGGAAGAGGGAGGAAGCGUCAGGCGAGUUGGGUCUUCGCGACUGGCGGCGGAAGCUUCGAAUGGGACGGGGCAGUGAUGACUCCGUUGCUGAACGGAGGUGCUGGGCUACGAGGGGUGGAGAUUGGGUCGGUUUUGGUGGAACGAAGCGAGAACAGGGGAGAAAAGAAGUGGGUAUUUCGGUAGAGAGAGAAAAAAAGAAAACAUAGGUGUGGGUGGGUUCUUUCGGGGCCAAAUGUGCAAUUCCCCCAAAAGGACAGAGAGAAAAAGAAAAAGAAAAAGAAAAGUAAAAUAAAAUACGUGUAGCCUCCCCCCCUUUUUCAACUACACCUGGAUGCUACGUGGGGGAGGAAGAAAAAUUUCCUCUCUCGAUAAUUCUCUUUCCCCCAUGUACAAAGUGAAUCAUCGAUGGAAUUUAAUUUAAUUUAACAAUUUUUUUAAGUAGUCUCAAAUAUGCUCAAUCUAACUAACGAAAUUUUGGGCGUCACAAACCUUCCCCUCUUAGAAAAUUUCGUCCUCGAAAUUUGACUUCAACUAAACAAAUGAGGGUAUCGUUGACGGAUAUCUUCUUCACUUUUCCACGUCACUUCUUCAAGGUCAUGAUGUUGCCAUAACACUUUAACUAGUGGGAUCACUUUCUUCCUCAACACUCGCUCUCUUUGGCUCAAAAUUUGCACGGGCUCUUCUGUAUAAUUCACGUUUUGAUCUACCUCAAUAGUCUCGUAGUCCAACACAUGAGUAGGGUCGGGAUGAUAUUUUCUUAAUAUGGAAACGUGAAACUAUCAUGUAUGCCCGCUAACUUUGGGGGUAAUGCUAAUCUGUAGGCGACUUCCCCAACUCUAUCAAGUAUUUCAAAAGGUCCAAUAAAACGUGGACUCAACUUGCCCUUUUUACCAAAUCUUGACAUGCCUUUAACCGGUGAGACUUUGAGAAAAACUUUAUCUCCCACAAUAAAUUCCAAAGGCCUCCUGCGCUGGUCUGCAUAACUUCUCUGUCGACUUUGGGCAGUCCUUAGUCCCUCCUUAAUAGUUUUCAUAGCGUCUACAGUAACUUGGAUUAAUUCGGGUCCAGUUAAUCUUCGCUCGCCUACUUCAUUCCAACAUACUGGGAUUCUACAAGCUCUCCCGUACAGUGCCUCAAAGGGGGCAGCUCCAAUACUUUGUUGAAAACUAUUAUUGUAUGCAAAUUCCGCUAAAUGUAAUUGUUCAUCCCAGUUUCCUUUAAAAUCCAACAUACAAGCUCUUAGCAUGUCUUCCAAUAUUUGGAUUACCCUUUCAGAUUGUCUGUCACGCCCCGAUCCUCGAGCACGCACACAUCCUUCUACUUGGUUGAUUUUAAAAUGCGAUAUCCCAGGACAAUGUAUCGCCGACCCUUUCAAUUAUUAUGCACAUGCGGAAGCAGUUAUAAAUCCCCAAACAAUAAAACAAUGGGAUAAAAAAACAGGGCCAUAUUUUUCAUAUUGAAACUUAUAACCAAACUUUUAUACAUGACAUAAACUAGAGUAAUUCACAACUCUUCAUAACUUUUUACUUUACUCUAUUCACAUCAAAAUGGCGCUCUCAAAAUAAGAUGGAGUCUCAAUCCAUCUAGGUCGUACUCAAGAUCUCUCUCGGUAUUAUCUUCUUCUUCCAAAAAUCAUUCUCCUCAGGUUUCACCUCCGAGUUCUCCUUCUCAGACUCCUCCUCUUCAGCUUCUCACCGGGGUCCUGAAAUGUUUUACCCAAACUGGGAUGAGACUACGUCUCAGCGAGUUCUACCCCACUAAGCCCGAUUAGUAAACAAUUAUACUAUAGACUGCCUAAACACGCACAGGGCAGAUGACUUACCUUGGCCUCAGAUCCCACCUGCAAGUCAGUACAAUUCACAAUAGGCACCCAAGUAAUCAUAUCACAGAGUGAAGCAUCGAUCAAAUCGACCUAGUCGAUUAUAUGCCAACAAGACCACUCACAGUUAUUUCCAAUCAGUCAAUCAAUCCACAACAUCAAAUCAAAGCAAUGAUCAAUCGACUUAGUCGAUUUCAUGACAGCCUGACCAUUUCACAGUCAUUCAAGCUAUUGCUAUUCAGUCUCAAUUGAUAAAACCAAUCACCGAGUCACGUGCAUUCUCCGAGGCGAUAUCCCUUAUCACCGAGCCACGUGCAUUCUCCGAGGUGAUGGAACCGAUCAUCGAGCCAUGUGCAUUCUCCGAGGUAAUGCAUUAAUUUACCGAGCCCACGUGCCCUUUAAAAUGCCAUUCUGAAUCAGCGAGCCCACAUGCAUUCUCCAAGGCGAUGCAUCAAGUCACCGAGCCCACGUGUCUCUUAAAGAUGCCAAAUGUACUCAUUGAGACCACGUGCAUUCUCCGAGGUAAUGCAUCAAAUUACCGAGCCCACGUGUCUCUUUCAAGAUGCCACACUUAAUCACCAAGCCACAUGCAUUCUCCAAUGCGACAUACUUCGUCACCGAGCCAUGUGCAUUCUCCGAGGUGAUAUAUCUAAUCAUCAAGCCCCGUGCAUUUUCCAAGGCGACGUACUAAUUAUCGAGCCAUGUGCAUUCUCCGAAGCGAUAUACCAAAUCACCGAGCCACGUGCAUUCUCCGAGAUGAUGUACUACUCACCGAGCCACGUGCCUUUCAUGAUGAUUCAUCCCAUUUCUAAAGUAAUUAUCUACAACCUUAAUUCGUACUCAAUUUACCCAAAUAAUCAAUUUAGGAACAUAUCCUAAAUAUCCACAAUUAAAUCAAUUCAGCACAAUUCAAAGCUCAAAUAAAUAAACGGACUGCGCCACGACAAUCGGCACGAGAUUUCGGUCGUCGGCUAUCUCAAACUUAAUUUCCGAAAAAUAAUAAAUUAAUUAAUUAAUUUCGAAAAUUAAUUAAUAAACAUUAAAAAUUCCAUUUAGCUCAAAAUAAGGCCCAAUUAAAUAAACGGACUUCACCACGAUCAUCAGCAUAGUAUUCCGGUCACGGGCCAUCUCAGUUGAAUUUUCAGAAAAUAAAUAAUUAUUUAAAUUAAUUCCGAAAAUUAAUAUUUAAAUACUAAAAAUUUCACUUAGGCCCAAAAAGCCUAAUUGAAGCCCACUAAGGGUCAGGAAAAAAUCCCGAGACACUUCCAAUAAAUAGUAGACCACGUCUACUUGCUAAUUACAUAUUCAAUUUGUCUAAUUCGCAUCACAAUUAGCUAAUAAACACUAAUCCAUACUAAUCUAACCACCUAAUUGCAUUUAAUUAAAACUAAACCAACCUUAAGCAUAAUUAGCCAACUAAUCCGGAAUUAGUGAGAUUACUCACCGGAAUCGCUCGCAAAUCGGAUCAAUCCGACGGAGGCGACGCGAGGAACAACAAACUCCAAAGCGGGCCUCGGGUUCGGGAUCCGGAAACGGCCCAAAAGCGGGCCUAAAGCCGCUGGAAACCCACCGACCAGUAGCCGAUCUAGGUUGGCCGGAGCUGGUUCGGUGGCUGAGGCGACGAGGGGAGGCCGGCGGAGGGCGAGGGAAACGUCGGGGAGGUUCAGCGGUGCUGGGCGGUGGCUGGAGGCGGCUGGACGGGGCGGAACCGAGCUGAACAGGGGUCGAACAGGGCUGUCUCACGCAGGGAAGGGGCGCCUGGGCGGAGGAGAGGGCAGGCGGCGCACGGCGGCGAGCGGCGGACGCGGGGCGUGCGAGCGCGGGCGGCGGGACGUGCGGCGACGGCGAGCUGCAACGUCUGCUCUUCUUCUGUCUUCGUUCGUUGGAAUGCGCGAAAGGGGGGAGAGAGCGUGCGAAGGAGAGAGAGAGAGAGAAGAUAAGAGAGAAAAGAUGGGUUUGAAUGGUCAAAGGGAGAGGGGAAAAACAAGUGGGUGACAGCCCACUAUUCGGUAGAAAGGGGGGCCAAUUCGCACGAAGGGGAGAGGGAAAGGGGAGAGGAGAGAGAGAAAAGAGAGAAAAAGAAGAGAGAGGGAGAGAAAAGAAAUAAUAUAAAAUAUAACACC
This 5977-nucleotide long non-coding RNA is filed under the name Eucalyptus grandis. RNAcentral's name for it is "long non-coding RNA (EGRA_LNC005855)". The record is from RNAcentral. Lineage: Eukaryota; Viridiplantae; Streptophyta; Magnoliopsida; Myrtales; Myrtaceae.